This 305-nucleotide signal recognition particle RNA is filed under the name Nelumbo nucifera (sacred lotus). Its description in RNAcentral is "Plant signal recognition particle RNA". It matches the Rfam family "Plant signal recognition particle RNA". The record is from Rfam by way of RNAcentral. Lineage: Eukaryota; Viridiplantae; Streptophyta; Magnoliopsida; Proteales; Nelumbonaceae.
GCUGAGCUCGGUAACGUGAGCUUGUCACCCAAGUGGGGGCAUUAAGGUGGCCGGACGUGGGUUCAGCUUUGAGAGGUAGGGUCUUGUGGUGGGUUCUUGCUGGCCUGUCCGUUCCAAAUGGGGAGUUGGACCAAGGGGCUUGAGCGAAGGCUUUGGCCUCGUGGUUCUUAGAGUGGAGGGUAAUGCGUCAGCUGGCUUCACAGAACAGCGAAUACCUCCCGCUCCAAAUAGUGGAAGGAUAACGGGCCGGUGCUCUCCAGGCCCAAUACGCCCCAAGGGCUGACCUUUACUGAACGAUCACUUUU